Molecule: non-coding RNA, 72 nt
Organism: Ailuropoda melanoleuca (giant panda)
Lineage: Eukaryota; Metazoa; Chordata; Mammalia; Carnivora; Ursidae
Source: Rfam
GCCUGGGUGGCAGAGCGGUUAAGCGUCUGCCUUCAGCUCAGGGCGUUGUGGGAUCGAGACCCACAUCAGGUU